CUGGAUUCUGAAUUCGAAUGGAUUGUUCACGGUUAAAUCCUGUUACACGUAUUUAUUAGACAUGCGGCAGGUAGAGCUUCAAGAUGCUCAUGUGCUCGAGGCCAUUCAGCGCCUCUGAAAGUCGGAUGUUCCUUCGAAAGUAAAUGUUUUCGGUUGGAGGCUAUUAUUAAAGAGAUUACCAACUAGAGCAGCUCUUCAUCACCGUGGUAUUUUGACUAAUCAUCAUGAAUUAUCAUUCGUCUUUUGUUUUCAACAAGCUGAGGACGAAAAACAUCUUUUCUUUUCAUGUCCUUUUAGUAAGGGAGUAUGGAACAAAGUUUUAU
This 323-nucleotide long non-coding RNA is filed under the name Trifolium pratense (red clover). Its description in RNAcentral is "long non-coding RNA (TPRA_LNC013570)". Lineage: Eukaryota; Viridiplantae; Streptophyta; Magnoliopsida; Fabales; Fabaceae. The record is from RNAcentral.